Gallus gallus (chicken) is the source of this 733-nucleotide long non-coding RNA. The record is from Ensembl. Lineage: Eukaryota; Metazoa; Chordata; Aves; Galliformes; Phasianidae.
AUGUGGAUAUGCAGAUCUGCAGCUGUGGCAGUGGUGAUUUACAGCAGUCCGACCUCGUCUGAAAAUGACAAGAUACGGAUUCAGUUCCUGGCAUUCCAACAAACAGCAGUACAAUACCAUGCUCUUAAUUUUGCUUUGAGAUGUAGAACUGUUUUUAGAGUAAUUUAUGCCAGAGACAGCCUAUUCCUUAAUGGUGGGGUUAUGGAAUUUCAUCAGAAAACAUACUCUUUGUCUUAGGACUUUUCUAACUGCAUGCUCUAACUUCUGGUUUCCAAAUAGUGUGUUGGCUCUGUAGAGAAAUCAGUGCUGGAGCUGUAAGGCCAGGAACUUGCAAGGCUGUGUGCUGUAGAACAGCUGGGGCCAUGUGCUGCCCUGCGCCGCCAUUUUUCAGUGCAAUUUCCUAAUGUCGGCUGAAGUAUAGAAGAUGACCUUGAAUGGGAUGUGUGAUGCACUGAGCUGCACCUUCUGCUUAGUGGAAGUGUGAAGGGGCAAAAGAGUGGACUCCUUCUGUUUUUGAAGUGGUCUCCUCUACCUUGACAGAGUCACAAACCUGUUUCUGUUGGACCUCAAGGGAACACAAGAGUUUCCUAGCAGAAGACACAUCUGGAACAUGCAGCACAGUUUGGAAAGACUGAAUAAAGCUUGAGACAUUGAUUGCCAAGCUCUCCAUUUGCACAAUCCCUUGGACUGCAACCAGUGCAGCAACCAGAGGGAACUCUGCAGCCCACUCAGG